GGGCGGUUAGCUCAGCUGGCUAGAGCGCCUGCCUUACAAGCAGGAGGUCGCAGGUUCGAGCCCUGCACCGCCCA
Molecule: transfer RNA, 74 nt
Filed under: Solirubrobacteraceae bacterium
Lineage: Bacteria; Bacillati; Actinomycetota; Thermoleophilia; Solirubrobacterales; Solirubrobacteraceae
Also listed under: 2 other names
Description: tRNA-Val
Rfam family: tRNA
About the family: Transfer RNA (tRNA) molecules are approximately 80 nucleotides in length. Their secondary structure includes four short double-helical elements and three loops (D, anti-codon, and T loops).
Source: RNAcentral